UAUUCUGCCCUACAGGGAAGGAUGAGAAGCUUCGACUAAGGUUCGACUCGAGCGAAGCGAGAGAACGUUGCCGCAGGCAACGGCCCGAAGGGCGAGGAGCUUUAGCGCCGAGUAAUCCUUCCCCCACCACCA
Molecule: small RNA, 132 nt
Filed under: Klebsiella pneumoniae
Lineage: Bacteria; Pseudomonadati; Pseudomonadota; Gammaproteobacteria; Enterobacterales; Enterobacteriaceae
Description: RtT sRNA
Rfam family: RtT RNA
About the family: This family represents a bacterial cis-regulatory element known as RtT RNA. The exact function of RtT is unknown although it is thought that it may be involved in changing the cellular response in relation to amino acid starvation.
Source: RNAcentral